ACAAGUACCGUGAGGGAAAGUUGCAAAGCACUUUGAAGAGAGAGUUAAAGAGGACGUGAAACCGGUAAGGUGGAAACGGAUAGAGUCGGCGUAUCAUUCAAUUAUUCAGUUACAUUAUUUUUAUGUUGUGACCUCUGAGCUCCAGAUUGGGACAGAGGGAAUCAGCAUAAUUUUUUGUGGUGCAUUUACUUGAUUGGUGCUUGGGGAUGUUUGAGGCAGAUUUGUUUCCGUCGUUUUGAGGCCAGCUUGCUGGUACCCAAACGGUGUUAGCAUUUUUUGUCUUGGGCAUUUGAGUAUGGCUYACGUGUAUUUAUUGGACAGAUCUGAGUGUAAGUUACGGUCGCAUGCGACACGUGCUUUUCAAUUAGUUCGGUCCAGUUAAUGCUCUCGUACUCGUUCCCCAUGUAAAAGCCGGUCAUCUAUCCGACCCGUCUUGAAACACGGACCAAGGAGUUUAUCGUGUGCGCAAGUUUUUGGGUGUUAAAAACUUAAAAGCGAAAUGAAAGUAAAUGACUCUUUAGAGUCUGAUGUGCGAUCUUGUAAAAAAGUGUAGCAUGGCCCCAUUCUAACUGUUUACAGUAGGGUGGCGGAAGAGCGUACGCGGUGAGACCCGAAAGAUGGUGAACUAUUCCUGAGCAGGACGAAGCCAGAGGAAACUCUGGUGGAAGUCCGAAGCGGUUCUGACGUGCAAAUCGAUCGUCUGACUUGGGUAUAGGGGCGAAAGACUAAUCGAACCAUCUAGUAGCUGGUUCCUUCCGA
Molecule: ribosomal RNA, 759 nt
Filed under: Meloidogyne incognita (southern root-knot nematode)
Lineage: Eukaryota; Metazoa; Nematoda; Chromadorea; Rhabditida; Meloidogynidae
Description: partial large subunit ribosomal RNA
Source: RNAcentral